Small nucleolar RNA from Vigna unguiculata (cowpea), 107 nucleotides. The record is from RefSeq and is a predicted model, not a curated record. Lineage: Eukaryota; Viridiplantae; Streptophyta; Magnoliopsida; Fabales; Fabaceae.
AACCCAUGAAUGGGAGUUUUUCUGAGCAAUCCCUUGAACCUGUCCCAUGCUUGCCCCAAGGACUCAUCCACGUCUUGCUGGAAAGCAGAGAUUUCUUGUUUGCCUUU